RNAcentral lists this long non-coding RNA (309 nucleotides) under Lathyrus oleraceus (garden pea). RNAcentral describes it as "Pisum sativum (pea) long non-coding RNA (PSAT_LNC000116)". Lineage: Eukaryota; Viridiplantae; Streptophyta; Magnoliopsida; Fabales; Fabaceae. The record is from RNAcentral.
AAAAAGGUGCUUUUGUGCCUCGAUACCAGAUAUCUCUUGAAACACUUGUUGACUCAUCAGAUAUGGCAACAGCUGGUGCUAUUCGCUUACUGGAUAUGGAGGAAGAUAUCUUUGGUUAUUCAUGCACUGAAACAAUCGGAAAAGAAGAUCUGGAACAUAUUUUUCGGCAUCAAGAAUUAGGCGUCGGUGUUAUACACACAUACAUCCGGUAAUCCGAUCUAUAUAUUAUUUAAUUACUUGAACAAUUUAUUUACACAUUUCAAUAAAAAUAGUCUAAUGUUUAUUAUGUUUUUAUGAAGGUUCUUGUAU